RNAcentral lists this transfer RNA (74 nucleotides) under Channa stewartii (golden snakehead). Its description in RNAcentral is "tRNA-Leu". It matches the Rfam family "tRNA". From Rfam's summary of the family: Transfer RNA (tRNA) molecules are approximately 80 nucleotides in length. The record is from RNAcentral. Lineage: Eukaryota; Metazoa; Chordata; Actinopteri; Anabantiformes; Channidae.
GUUGGGGUGGCAGAGCCCGGUUAUUGCCAAAGACCUAAGCCCUUUACAUAGAGGUUCAAAUCCUCUUCCCAACU